CUCCUAAAUGUCCUAGGCUGCACGCGCACUACACUGACGCAUUCAACGAGUCUGAUUGCCUUACGGCAACCUAUCUUGAAGAGGACGGGAAAUCUUUUGAACUUGCGUCGUGAUGAGGAUCGAUGAUUGCAAUUAUUCUCCUUGAAUGAGGAAUGCCUAGUAGGCGCAAGUCAUCAGCUUGCACUGAUUACGUCCCUGCCAUUUGUACACACCGCCCGUCGUUGCCACCGAUUGGCUGUAGGAUAGAGUUUGGGGGAGGUUGUCUUUCUCGGAUUUCUGAUUAAGACGUUCACGAAUCCAAGCAAUAUUUUUCAGCUAGAGGAAGCAAAAGUCGUAACA
Molecule: ribosomal RNA, 339 nt
Filed under: uncultured eukaryote
Lineage: Eukaryota
Description: partial 18S ribosomal RNA
Rfam family: Eukaryotic small subunit ribosomal RNA
Source: RNAcentral